UUUCCUAGGAAGCUGAUACUUACAGCAGUGGAGAUUAGCAAUACCUGGACAGAGUUGAGCUUCAAAGGACACUGAGAAAUGGCUAAAGCAGAUAAUAAAAAAAUGAGGAAAUGCUGUGAAGAACUAAUAGAACAUUUCAGAAGCAGAACAAGUUGAGAGCAGUGAUGACCCUUUUGUUCCUGCUAGUACCUCCUGUCUGUCUGGCCAAACUCACCAUCAGAUGAUGUCUUGAACCUCACCUAGAUGGGCUGGUGGUGUGUGGCCAGGUUAAGAGCACCAAGAGGAGUAAGAAAGUGACGUGCCUGGUUUUACCGUGUCCGCUAGGGGAGGGGUUGAAAGCUUUCUCUUGAUACAUCACCUCUGGGAGUUGAAGAAGAAUGCAAUUAAGAGAGCUAAAGAAGUCAGUAGGUAUCUCUCCUGAACAAUUCUGGUUUUCUUCUAAUAGCUUUUACAAUUUUUACCUCUGUUAUUAAAUGCAAACUCUUAACCAAUAUUAAUAGUAGUAAUCUCAAAUCUCAACAUCAAAAUCUUAUCUAUGAAAUAUAGGAGUUGGUUCAUAUACAGCUUUAGCCUUUUCCACGUUACAAAAUAUAUUCCAUAUAUAUGUGUGAUCUUCAUUUAACAUUCAAGUAAAUGUUGUAAGAUAUUGUUAUUUUUCUUCUAACAUUUCACAGGUAUGGAAUCUGAAACUCAGAGGGUUACCUCCACAAAUCAGUACCUUGAUUAAAACUAGAACUGAAGUCAUCUUCACUUCCUCGUCUUUCUCCCUCUUCAUUAGGACUGAUUGUAGACUGUUUCCCUCUCACUCACUUGCAAUCUAUAUUGCUUUAGUGCUGCAUUUGAUUUUAUCUUUGUUUUUAAAUACUGACAUUAAAGUUAUAGAAAAAUCUAAAAAAAAACUGGUUGAAUGAAAAUUUUAAAAUCGA
This 926-nucleotide non-coding RNA is filed under the name Pan troglodytes (chimpanzee). The record is from RNAcentral. Lineage: Eukaryota; Metazoa; Chordata; Mammalia; Primates; Hominidae.